UACGAAGGGGGCUAGCGUUGCUCGGAUUGACUGGGCGUAAAGAGCUCGUAGGCGGUGUGUCGCGUCGGCCGUGAAAACCUGCAGCUUAACUGUGGGCGUGCGGUCGAUACGGGCAUCACUGGAGUUCGGCAGGGGAGACUGGAAUUCCUGGUGUAGCGGUGAAAUGCGCAGAUAUCAGGAGGAACACCGGUGGCGAAGGCGGCAUCCUGGACCGGCAUUGACGCUGAGGCGCGAAAGCCAGGGGAGCAAACGGG
This 254-nucleotide ribosomal RNA is filed under the name uncultured bacterium. RNAcentral describes it as "partial 16S ribosomal RNA". It matches the Rfam family "Bacterial small subunit ribosomal RNA", at positions 524 to 776 of the family's 1533-position model. The record is from RNAcentral.